AGACAGAGGAAAGAAGAGUAGAAAGGGAUA
RNAcentral lists this non-coding RNA (30 nucleotides) under Cricetulus griseus (Chinese hamster). Lineage: Eukaryota; Metazoa; Chordata; Mammalia; Rodentia; Cricetidae. The record is from RNAcentral.